This 370-nucleotide ribosomal RNA is filed under the name uncultured organism. RNAcentral describes it as "bacterial SSU rRNA". It matches the Rfam family "Bacterial small subunit ribosomal RNA", at positions 526 to 896 of the family's 1533-position model. The record is from RNAcentral.
CGUAGGGUGCAAGCGUUAAUCGGAAUUACUGGGCGUAAAGCGUGCGCAGGCGGUUCGGAAAGAAAGAUGUGAAAUCCCAGAGCUUAACUUUGGAACUGCAUUUUUAACUACCGAGCUAGAGUGUGUCAGAGGGAGGUGGAAUUCCGCGUGUAGCAGUGAAAUGCGUAGAUAUGCGGAGGAACACCGAUGGCGAAGGCAGCCUCCUGGGAUAACACUGACGCUCAUGCACGAAAGCGUGGGGAGCAAACAGGAUUAGAUACCCUGGUAGUCCACGCCCUAAACGAUGUCAACUAGCUGUUGGGGCCUUCGGGCCUUGGUAGCGCAGCUAACGCGUGAAGUUGACCGCCUGGGGAGUACGGUCGCAAGAUUA